Molecule: transfer RNA, 66 nt
Filed under: Ozobranchus jantseanus
Lineage: Eukaryota; Metazoa; Annelida; Clitellata; Hirudinida; Ozobranchidae
Description: tRNA-Pro
Source: RNAcentral
UCAGAUAAUAAUUUAAAUUAAAAUGAUAACUUUGGGGGUUAUUUAUCUUCAUGGAAGUUAUCUGAA